UCGUUCUAGCUAGCGACAGCGGUGGUGAAACGUGAUUUAAAUUUAAACUGUUUAGUAAUUGCUUUUUAUACGUUUCAGCAAAUGGACAAGCUGAAAGCUUACGAGCAGCCUGCAUCCUUUCUCUCGCUGUUUUCUCUUUUCUAUAUUUCUACUGUUGAGAUAUUUUGUGAUCCUGAUAUGUAUUUUUCUGUUGUUGUUUUUAGACUUUUCUGCAAUAUGUCAUCUGACGAUGAUGAAAGGAAUACGAUGAUAAUAACAUUGUUCAACAAAGGCUUAAAACAAAAGGAAAUCAGCUGUGUACUCAAUUCAUAUGGGCAUAAAAUAAGUGAGAGGCAUCUGAGACGAGUUUUAAAACUUCUAGGGUUGAAGCGAAGAUGCCCCCAACGACCUUUUACUGAAAUCACGUUUCACCACCACUGUCGCUAGCUAGAACGAAUUGGCCAGACAAGAAUAGUGCUGAUUUGGUUUCGUACAAAACUAGAUUUCCUUCUUUGAUAUGUAACUUUCACAACAUAACCGCAACUUAAUAUCACACAACUGUGGCAAAAAUAUGAACAAAAGGGAGAAAAAGUUAAACUUACCUUGUGUCGUUAGGAGCCUGGACCGCGGUAAAACUCCGGUGAGGUCAAUGACCUUGCGCUCUCCCACUGUCACACGUUGAUGACGUAUUUGGAAAUCAAUUCGGAUGGGACAUGACAACAGCGCCACCUGCAGGAAGAUUUUCUGAGACCUGACAUUUUUCCGUCUGAGUCUGAGAC
Long non-coding RNA from Pelmatolapia mariae (spotted tilapia), 758 nucleotides. RefSeq lists it as uncharacterized. The transcript has 3 exons. NCBI's taxonomy places the organism in Eukaryota, Metazoa, Chordata, Actinopteri, Cichliformes, Cichlidae. The record is from RefSeq and is a predicted model, not a curated record.